UAUGGCUGUUCGCCAUUUAAAGUGGUACGCGAGCUGGGUUUAGAACGUCGUGAGACAGUUCGGUCCCUAUCUGCCGUGGGCGCUGGAGAACUGAGGGGGGCUGCUCCUAGUACGAGAGGACCGGAGUGGACGCAUCACUGGUGUUCGGGUUGUCAUGCCAAUGGCACUGCCCGGUAGCUAAAUGCGGAAGAGAUAAGUGCUGAAAGCAUCUAAGCACGAAACUUGCCCCGAGAUGAGUUCUCCCUGACCCUUUAAGGUCCUGAAGGAACGUUGAAGACGACGACGUUGAUAGGCCGGGUGUGUAAGCGCAGCGAUGCGUUGAGCUAACCGGUACUAAUGAACCGUGAGGCUUAACCUU
This 358-nucleotide ribosomal RNA is filed under the name Escherichia coli. Its description in RNAcentral is "partial 23S ribosomal RNA". It matches the Rfam family "Bacterial large subunit ribosomal RNA", at positions 2572 to 2925 of the family's 2925-position model. The record is from RNAcentral. Lineage: Bacteria; Pseudomonadati; Pseudomonadota; Gammaproteobacteria; Enterobacterales; Enterobacteriaceae.